This 460-nucleotide ribosomal RNA is filed under the name uncultured bacterium. Its description in RNAcentral is "partial 16S ribosomal RNA". It matches the Rfam family "Bacterial small subunit ribosomal RNA", at positions 338 to 795 of the family's 1533-position model. The record is from RNAcentral.
CCUACGGGGGGCAGCAGUGAGGAAUAUUGGUCAAUGGACGAGAGUCUGAACCAGCCAAGUAGCGUGAAGGAUGACUGCCCUAUGGGUUGUAAACUUCUUUUAUAUGGGAAUAAAAUGUUCCACGUGUGGGAUUUUGUAUGUACCAUAUGAAUAAGGAUCGGCUAACUCCGUGCCAGCAGCCGCGGUAAUACGGAGGAUCCGAGCGUUAUCCGGAUUUAUUGGGUUUAAAGGGAGCGAAGGUGGAUUGUUAAGUCAGUUGUGAAAGUUUGCGGCUCAACCGUAAAAUUGCAGUUGAAACUGGCAGUCUUGAGUACAGUAGAGGUGGGCGGAAUUCGUGGUGUAGCGGUGAAAUGCUUAGAUAUCACGAAGAACUCCGAUUGCGAAGGCAGUUCACUGGACUGCAACUGACACUGAGGCUCGAAAGUGUGGGUAUCAAACAGGAUUAGAUACCCUUGUAGUC